Non-coding RNA from Salmo salar (Atlantic salmon), 581 nucleotides. The record is from RefSeq and is a predicted model, not a curated record. NCBI's taxonomy places the organism in Eukaryota, Metazoa, Chordata, Actinopteri, Salmoniformes, Salmonidae.
GGUUGUGUAUGGGAGUGGGAGUGGGGGGCAAGGAUAUGCUCCUUAUUGGUUGAUCUAUAAAUAUGCUAAUGAUAUGCCAAUUCAGCAUCAGUUGAUAGAACAUUCCAAAAUACCAUGGGAAUGAUUGCAUCAUAAUACCAAUUGCCAGGAUUGGAGCUUCCAAGCCCGUUCUACUUAUUCUAAUUUCUAUGGACGACACACAGACGACACACACAGACGACACACACAGACUGCUGUUGGGCUCAUCCCGCCCCUCAUCCCCAAAGAAAUAGCAUGCUGGGUGAGGGACGGGACACAGCGGCCCAGUCUCCUGUCUCCUACAGGGCCUAAAUAGCACCGUCAAUGACACAGCUCCACCCCGGCACACUGACAAAGAGGACAAAUUACAGAGGGGCAACAGAGACAGCUGUGUUAAUAACGGCCUCACGUCUCAUCACAAUGAAUCUCUGUCUGCAACGAGCCCAUUGAGGAUGCCACAGACAGGAAAUGAUGCAGGAUGAGAUGAGAUCACGCAGAUUUCUGACUCACCUGUUGUGGUGGCCGUCGUGGAGGCAGAAGGGAAUCGUCAGGACAUGGAACGA